This 74-nucleotide transfer RNA is filed under the name Neorhodopirellula lusitana. RNAcentral describes it as "Rhodopirellula lusitana tRNA_Arg_TCT". It matches the Rfam family "tRNA". Rfam says of the family: Transfer RNA (tRNA) molecules are approximately 80 nucleotides in length. Their secondary structure includes four short double-helical elements and three loops (D, anti-codon, and T loops). Lineage: Bacteria; Pseudomonadati; Planctomycetota; Planctomycetia; Pirellulales; Pirellulaceae. RNAcentral also lists the same sequence under 1 other name. The record is from RNAcentral.
GCCCUGCUAGCUCAACUGGAUAGAGCACCUCACUUCUAAUGAGGAUGUUACAGGUUCGAGUCCUGUGCGGGGUG